UACGUAGGGUGCGAGCGUUAAUCGGAAUUACUGGGCGUAAAGCGUGCGCAGGCGGGCUUUUAAGCCAGACGUGAAAUCCCCGGGCUUAACCUGGGAAUGGCGUUUGGGACUGGGAGUCUGGAGUGCGGCAGAGGAGACUGGAAUUCCUGGUGUAGCAGUGAAAUGCGUAGAUAUCAGGAGGAACACCGGUGGCGAAGGCGGGUCUCUGGGCCGAUAUUGACGCUGAGGAGCGAAAGCGUGGGGAGCAAACAGG
This 253-nucleotide ribosomal RNA is filed under the name uncultured bacterium. RNAcentral describes it as "partial 16S ribosomal RNA". It matches the Rfam family "Bacterial small subunit ribosomal RNA", at positions 524 to 776 of the family's 1533-position model. The record is from RNAcentral.